RNAcentral lists this ribosomal RNA (439 nucleotides) under uncultured Actinomyces sp. RNAcentral's name for it is "bacterial SSU rRNA". It matches the Rfam family "Bacterial small subunit ribosomal RNA", at positions 28 to 483 of the family's 1533-position model. Lineage: Bacteria; Bacillati; Actinomycetota; Actinomycetes; Actinomycetales; Actinomycetaceae. The record is from RNAcentral.
CGGCCGCGUCGACGAACGCUGGCGGCGUGCUUAACACAUGCAAGUCGAACGGUGAAGCACCUUCCUUUUGGUGGGUGUGGAUGAGUGGCGAACGGGUGAGUAACACGUGAGUAACCUGCCCCCUUCUUCUGGAUAACCGCAUGAAAGUGUGGCUAAUACGGGAUAUUCUGGGUCUGUCGCAUGGCGGGUCUGGGAAAGAUGCGCCUUUGGGUGUUUUUGGUGGGGGAUGGGCUCGCGGCCUAUCAGCUUGCUGGUGGGGUGAUGGCCUACCAAGGCGGUGACGGGUAGCCGGCCUGAGAGGGUGGACGGUCACACUGGGACUGAGACACGGCCCAGACUCCUACGGGAGGCAGCAGUGGGGGUCGACGCGUGCGGGAUGACGGCCUUCGGGUUGUAAACCGCUUUCGCCUGUGACGAAGCGUGAGUGACGGUAAUGGGU